CCUACGGGAGGCAGCAGUAGGGAAUCUUCCACAAUGGGCGAAAGCCUGAUGGAGCAACGCCGCGUGGGUGAAGAAGGUCUUCGGAUCGUAAAACCCUGUUGUUAGAGAAGAAAGUGCGCGAGAGUAACUGUUCACGUUUCGACGGUAUCUAACCAGAAAGCCCCGGCUAACUACGUGCCAGCAGCCGCGGUAAUACGUAGGUGGCAAGCGUUAUCCGGAUUUAUUGGGCGUAAAGGGAACGCAGGCGGUCUUUUAAGUCUGAUGUGAAAGCCUUCGGCUUAACCGGAGUAGUGCAUUGGAAACUGGGAGACUUGAGUGCAGAAGAGGAGAGUGGAACUCCAUGUGUAGCGGUGAAAUGCGUAGAUAUAUGGAAGAACACCAGUGGCGAAAGCGGCUCUCUGGGCUGUAACUGACGCUGAGGUUCGAAAGCGUGGGUAGCAAACAGGAUUAGAUACCCCAGUAGUC
RNAcentral lists this ribosomal RNA (465 nucleotides) under uncultured bacterium. RNAcentral describes it as "partial 16S ribosomal RNA". It matches the Rfam family "Bacterial small subunit ribosomal RNA", at positions 338 to 795 of the family's 1533-position model. The record is from RNAcentral.